Molecule: transfer RNA, 85 nt
Filed under: Deltaproteobacteria bacterium
Lineage: Bacteria; Pseudomonadati; Myxococcota; Myxococcia
Also listed under: 2 other names
Description: tRNA-Leu
Rfam family: tRNA
About the family: Transfer RNA (tRNA) molecules are approximately 80 nucleotides in length.
Source: RNAcentral
GCGAGAGUGGCGGAAUUGGCAGACGCGCUGGACUUAGGAUCCAGUGGAGCGAUCCGUGGGGGUUCGAGUCCCUUCUCUCGCACCA